GGAGUCCAGAUGUGGCCGUCCGCGCGAGUCAACGGCGGCUUUACGGAGAACACAGGAUGCACCGAUUGAGAGGCCAACAACAACGACGACGGAGACGAGAUCUGUAGCAGCGUCGAUGAAUCUGCUACUAGCAAUUGAUGUUCGUGUAUCACGAGAAGACGAAAAGAUGUUUGUGUAUCAUGCGGCCAGAGAUGGAGCGCACAUGCACGCCCAUCGGCAUUGAUCUAAGGCAUGAUUGACCUACACAGCUGAUCUGAAUCGUAUUAUACACACCGCGCAAGCCGGCGCCUGGCAGGGCGUUGCUUCCUAGUAGAUCAGGUUUUCGCCCGGAUCGGCUACAUCUACAAGGCUACAAGACACAAGGGACUUCGUCGACAAUUCUGAUAACGCCACACUGCAAUCAUAGGAUGGUUUGUAUCACGCAUCAUAAAAUGAUGCUCUAAUGUGAUGCACGUAUAUUUACAUUUUGAGUCUUUGUAUUUCUGCAGUGGAACAAUAUCAGUAUUUGAAGCAACUAUACUACUUUUUUGAUUUUAAAUAAUCAUGCUACUAUUUCCUGUAGUAUACUCUUUUCAUUAAUUAUACAGUACCUUUUUUUA
Triticum aestivum (bread wheat) is the source of this 599-nucleotide long non-coding RNA. RefSeq lists it as uncharacterized. The record is from RefSeq and is a predicted model, not a curated record. The transcript has 2 exons. Lineage: Eukaryota; Viridiplantae; Streptophyta; Magnoliopsida; Poales; Poaceae.